RNAcentral lists this ribosomal RNA (253 nucleotides) under uncultured bacterium. Its description in RNAcentral is "partial 16S ribosomal RNA". It matches the Rfam family "Bacterial small subunit ribosomal RNA", at positions 524 to 776 of the family's 1533-position model. The record is from RNAcentral.
UACGGGGGGGGCAAGCGUUGUUCGGAAUUACUGGGCGUAAAGGGCUCGUAGGUGGCCAACUAAGUCAGACGUGAAAUCCCUCGGCUUAACCGGGGAACUGCGUCUGAUACUGGAUGGCUGGAGGUUGGGAGAGGGAUGCGGAAUUCCAGGUGUAGCGGUGAAAUGCGUAGAUAUCUGGAGGAACACCGGUGGCGAAGGCGGCAUCCUGGACCGGCAUUGACGCUGAGGCGCGAAAGCCAGGGGAGCAAACGGG